Molecule: long non-coding RNA, 477 nt
Filed under: Rattus norvegicus (Norway rat)
Lineage: Eukaryota; Metazoa; Chordata; Mammalia; Rodentia; Muridae
Description: long non-coding RNA NONRATT002052
Source: RNAcentral
UGUGGCCAGGCCCAGCCGCAGCAUGGGCUGACGUCAGCGCUUCUGUGGCUUAGAGCCGCGCACAUCUAACUUGACAGUCCGCGAGACUCGGUUUUUCAUUUUGUUUUCUUUUUGAUAUUGUUUUGUUUUGCAAAAUAUGUAUUUCUGUCAUCGCAGCGAGGCCCGCCGGUCCCAGAACCCUGUGAAGUGUUCAGACUUCGAAGCUAAAAGAAAAGCUGGGACCAAGACCACUCACUUACUUAUCUGGUUAGGAAAGUUUGAGCAGCUUAUGGGUGAACUAACCACCUCUCACUUCGUCCUCCCAGAGCCUAGGAUCCUACAGCUCGGAGCAGUGCCCACGCCGCGCACAGGACCCCAAGGACCUUCUUAGGCUGCGCCCGCCAUGUCCUACCCGCAGUUUGGAUACCCCUAUUCCUCCGCUCCUCAGUUCCUGAUGACCACCAACUCCCUGAGCACGUGCUGCGAGUCGGGCGGCCG